UGCCAGCAUCCGCGGUACUCCUGAGUGUGCGAUCGUUAAUCGGAAUUACUGGGCUUAAAGAGUUCGUAGGUGGUAGAAAAAGUUGGUGGUGAAAUCCCAGAGCUUAACUCUGGAACUGCCAUCAAAACCUUUCAGCUAGAGUUUGAUAGAGGAAAGCAGAAUUUCUAGUGUAGAGGUGAAAUUCGUAGAUAUUAGAAAGAAUACCAAUUGCGAAGGCAGCUUUCUGGAUCAUUAUUGACACUGAGGAACGAAAGCAUGGGUAGCGAAGAGGAUUAGAUA
Molecule: ribosomal RNA, 279 nt
Filed under: uncultured bacterium
Lineage: Bacteria
Description: partial 16S ribosomal RNA
Rfam family: Bacterial small subunit ribosomal RNA
Source: RNAcentral